This is a regulatory RNA element of 38 nucleotides. It matches the Rfam family "Ribosomal protein L19 leader". From Rfam's summary of the family: This family is a putative r-protein leader autoregulatory structure found in B. subtilis and other low-GC Gram-positive bacteria. The record is from Rfam.
ACGAUGUUCCGCUGUCCCUUAGGAGAUAAGAGCAUUGG